Long non-coding RNA from Oncorhynchus nerka (sockeye salmon), 267 nucleotides. RefSeq lists it as uncharacterized. NCBI's taxonomy places the organism in Eukaryota, Metazoa, Chordata, Actinopteri, Salmoniformes, Salmonidae. The transcript has 3 exons. The record is from RefSeq and is a predicted model, not a curated record.
AGGAGAUAACAAUGGAUGGCCCCAUCUUUUUGACAAGUAUUUUGGGAUGCCCAACAUCGACAUCGGGACCAAGUCUGAUAAAUGUUUGCUGGUGGCUGUUCCAGAGCUGUGUCAGUGCAGAGAUCUGGAGCUGGACUGUGACGGUGCCCAGUUUCACCAUGUCCCAGCCGUGUCCGUUAACGUCACCAUGAUGUCCCUGCAAAGGAACCGACUUCGGAUAUUGAACGGUGACAUAUUCUAUAAGUACCAGAGUCUUCAGAAACUGUA